Long non-coding RNA from Tripterygium wilfordii, 567 nucleotides. RefSeq lists it as uncharacterized. The record is from RefSeq and is a predicted model, not a curated record. NCBI's taxonomy places the organism in Eukaryota, Viridiplantae, Streptophyta, Magnoliopsida, Celastrales, Celastraceae. The transcript is spliced from 2 exons.
UCACAAAACUAAAGGGCAAAAAAACAAGGAAACCGAGGGAAGAAAGAAGAGUCCAGAAAAAACGAGAAGGAAAGAGAGAGAAGACUUUAGAGGGGCUAGCAGAGGACGUGAGACAGGGAGGGUGGUGUGCCGACCUCUUUGAUCUCUUCAUAGCUGCCAUGGUUUGUACUGAGAGGAUUUGUGAGUUGUGUUUACAAGGUUAAGGUUCAUUACAUGAUCGUACGAGUCAAAUUGGGAGUUAGGAAGAGAUGGUCUGUAUUGCUCUUGAACAUGUACAUGGAAGCUUUGAUGGACAGAGCUUAAAGUUAAAUUCAAAGGUUCACUUGCCUCGAGUGACGAGUUGGUUGGUGGUUUCUACGAUUACGCUAGGGACGUGGAAGUAAUACUGUAAUAGCAUGAUAGCUGAUUAUCCGGUGAGUGAAUAGUGAACUUACUCGAUACACUGGAUCCAUAAUCACUUAUGUUUCUACACAUGCAUCAGAUUUGAAGUCCGUGGCACAUUUGAGAUCUUUGUACAUUCUAUUCCAUUAUCGUUUACCUGACUCGUGAUGACACCAUUGGUUCCUA